AACGCAUAUUGCGCUCUCUGGUAUUCCGGGGAGCAUGCCUGUUUCAGCAUCAUUUGAACAUCUCAAAAUCGUUCGUUUUUGGAUGGUUUUGGAAGCUGGGCUUAUUGUGUUGUGUUUCUUAGCAUUCACAACUGGCCUGAAAUAUGUGACAAAUCAAUGCAAGAAACAUGUGUAGAUGCUUGAAAGCAGAGACGAAAAGCUUAUUAGUUGACUACGGUCAAACUUGCUGACUAGUCUUGAACUAGAGAGCAUAUCUACAUUCACAAUUUGAUCUGAAAUCAGGUAGGAUUACCCGCUGAACUUAA
This 305-nucleotide unclassified non-coding RNA is filed under the name uncultured fungus. RNAcentral's name for it is "sequence contains ITS2". Lineage: Eukaryota; Fungi. The record is from RNAcentral.